GAACUGUUGAAUAUACGUUGAAUUUGACGAUUUAAGAGAGAUAAAAAUGAAUAAAUGGUAUUUUUUUUAUUUUGAUUUUUAAUAGAAAAUUUGUUGUGGUACUUUAGGAGGGAAAUCAUAUAGAUGGAGUGGGCAACGGAAAAAGAGUAAUGAGAUACAGAGCAUUAGAAGUAUGCAAUUAGUCUGUUUAGUUUUGAAUUGAACUGAAAAAACUGAGAAACUGAAAUGUAUUUUAUGUAAGUCUCAACCGAAUCAAAUAGAAAUAAAUAGGUUUGGUUUAGUUCAUUGGUUUUCUUUCAAUUUCAAGAAACCAAAUAGAAUCCAAGAUUUCUUCUAGAAACAAAACCUAGUUCUUCCCAUUUCAACGAUCAAACAAAUCAACCUCACAAUUAAGCAAUUUACAACAAAUAAUUGCAAUUAACAAUCUGACAAACUAAUGAAUCUUCCAAUAACAAUCAACAAAGCUCAAAGUCAAGCAAUUAAAAAAGAAAAUAAAUAGAAAAAAAAUAGAUCCAUAAAAAACACUGAGAGUCAAUCUCUCAAGAGCUCAAAUUAGACUCAACGGUGCUCAUUUUGCUACGACGAAAGUUGAGAAUCACAAAAUGGGCAUGAAGAUAGGUGGGAAGGACUUAACUCGCACAAGGUAUGGUUGGGUUAGGCAUUUCUAGAGGAUGCAACGCGAUGCGACUGACGUUGAGGCACAGGUAAGGAUGUGAUGUAGUCAUCGAGACAGAGGCUGUGAUAUCGAAGCUGGGGCAAAGGCAAGUCCAUGUCAUCGAGGUAGAUAUCUAUGGCUUAGGAAGGAGGAACAAGAAAUUGAGGAAGAAGAACAAGACUCUUGUUAAAAGAGGGGAGUGGGACUAGAAUGGAGGAAGGAAAAUGAAAAUUGUGAAAGGUGGAAGGAAAAAAAAAUGAAAGGAGAGAGUAGAACUCAAGGCAUAAGCAAGCUGGAGAGAUGAGAUGAGAAGCAGAGGAGGCCUUAGAUAUCACUAUCCAGAAUGAUAAUGUAUUGCUAAUACAAAAUUUCAGUCAUCUCCGUUAAUUAGAUUAUUUUGAAUGAAUUAACCGAACUAAAUCAAAAGCUAAAAUUUUUUUAAAAUAAAUUGAGAUCAAAAAUAUAUAUUAGGCUCGAAUUGAGUUCAUUAGCCAGGUUAGAAUUAUGCGAAAGUCCAGCUUUAAUUAAGCUAACUAACAAAUGUUGGAUCACAGUGGCUGAGUUAGGAGAUCUGCUCUUAUAUUAUUAUUAUGGAAUCUAUUGAGUGUGUGAUGCUUGUAUAUCUCCACCAGAAAGAUGGCACUAGAUUUAGGCUAGUCAUAAAUGUUGUACGAAUAUUCAAUACCUAUUCUCAAUUUUUUUUUUCCAGGUAACAAAUGGAAGUUAGCUUUAUAACUUGGCAUCCAUGCAUCUCUCCAUUACAAGUUAGUAGACUCUGCCAAGUUACUUUAGAGUCUGUAAAAUGUGUUAUGUGUUUACGUAUGUGUUAUGGAUUUCCUUAGACAUGAUUAUGUGAGUUUAAUAUAAUUCCUCACUUGUGGAUAUUGUAUUUGAGAUGGAGAACUACAAGUUGAGAUUGAGUAUAUAUGUAAGUUGAGAUCAUGACACUAACACUGCCUAAAAAGUUUUUGACUCUCAUACUUUUUGAAAUUUGAAUACAAUACCUUUCUUAACUAUAGAAAUAUUUUAAAACACUUACAGAAAAAGUCAAGAAUUUCGAAACUCUAACUAUUUUUAAAUAUUCAAUUUGAAAAGUGUUUUCACACUUUUAUCAUUAAUACUUUGUUUAUCAUUUACACAUUUUUAUGAGAUAAAAU
RNAcentral lists this unclassified non-coding RNA (1812 nucleotides) under Hevea brasiliensis (rubber tree). Lineage: Eukaryota; Viridiplantae; Streptophyta; Magnoliopsida; Malpighiales; Euphorbiaceae. The record is from RNAcentral.